This is a long non-coding RNA of Setaria italica (foxtail millet), 204 nucleotides long. RefSeq lists it as uncharacterized. NCBI's taxonomy places the organism in Eukaryota, Viridiplantae, Streptophyta, Magnoliopsida, Poales, Poaceae. The record is from RefSeq and is a predicted model, not a curated record. The transcript is spliced from 3 exons.
AUUUUUUAUGGGCACUUGACAUGUAUAAAAGAGCAAUUAGCCCGGCAGAACAACUUUCGGAAUUUUAUGAAGUGUGUAAAAGUAUACAUAUUGGGCGUGGUGAGCGAUUCCUCAAAAUUGAACAGCCACCUGCAUCGUUCCUGGGAGCUAUGGAGGAGUAUGUGAGCAAUGCCCCCCUUGCUUCAACAGUUCAGAGAAAUCAGG